RNAcentral lists this small nucleolar RNA (70 nucleotides) under Castor canadensis (American beaver). RNAcentral's name for it is "Small nucleolar RNA SNORD45 (ENSCCNG00000012163.1)". The record is from RNAcentral. Lineage: Eukaryota; Metazoa; Chordata; Mammalia; Rodentia; Castoridae.
AGACAAGAAUGUGAGUCCAAUUAGCUGAAUGCACUGUUGAUGUGAGUUCUUCAAAUUACACUGAGACCUU